CUUAAGAGGUGGCACAACUGAAGUCCCCGGGGAGACUGGGAAGGGAAAAGUGAUCCAGGAGAAAGGGGCCACGACCUCGGCGUCUGGGCCCCAAAGGCACAGGUCAUGCGCUCCUGGGUGGAAGGCGAGUGCGUGCGGGGCUCAGUGCUGCCCCUGCGCACACCUCAAACUUCACGCUAGCAGCACCGUCUGCUCUUAGAGGCUGUGCGUAGUCUAGCUCCCAUGGAGCACAUGCCUUCUCCAUCCCAAAUACCCUUAAACUAGCCCCAAGAGAACUGUGAAACCUCCGGGCCAGCUGGGCUGAGCUGUGGGUGGCAGCACACCAGGUGGCCCGGCACCACUGGAGUGGCCUCUGUGAAGCAGAGCUUGUGAGCUGCGGGUGCUCCUGGCCAGGGGAAUGGUCCGGGCUGCUGCCACCACUGACCCCUCCAGGGGAGGUGCUAUCAGGCAAGCUCCAGGGGCCCUCCAGGGACGCGAGGGGGGCUGGCCUGGUCUGGCCAUCAGUCCUCCAGAGGAUACUGUUCCUACCACAGGGGAGAGACCCCAGGCUCGGGAGGCAGGGCCACACUGUUCUGUCGCCUUUCUGAAGGUUCCGGGUGAUCUCUGCAGCCCUUGGUUCAAAUCUGCACACCAGACGUGGGCUCCGGAGAAGUGCAGGAGGGGGCAGGUGCUGGCGGGGAGACCACGGGGCUAGGAGAGAAGGCUGCCGAGACGCUGGCAUUAAGGCUGGGGCCCAAGCCCUAGGCAGAUGUGAGGGGGAUGUGCGUGGGGCGGACCAGGUGACAGUGGUUUUCAGGGACCUCUGCUGCGGGUGUCUGUGUGGAGUGUGAUCCUGGAGAGAGAGGUGUGUGGCUGGGAGACGUCCCCACCAGGGAGGAGGGGCAGAGGGCCCAGAGAGGAGGACAGCCAAGACCACCGUGCGCCAGGCCUCCCGAUGGGCAGCGUGCCCGGGACUAGUGCUCAGCUGACCGGACACAGCAGCCUGCUGCAGCAGGGGCUGGUUUGCUCAUUCAUCUGUGCAUUAAGGAGGGAGCCUGUAAAGGAGAUGAAUGAGUGGUCCUGAUGGCACUCACUGGCCAUCUCCUGUCUGAUGAGUUUCUUUUUUGUCUCCUGACAAGGGAAGGGAGGGCCGUGCUCUCGGCCCUUCAGACAGACCAAAAGCCCUCAGCCUGACAAAAAGACCAGUGGCAUUAGGAAAGGUAGACCAAGCGAGCUCAGUCUACCCGGAUGAGCACAGAGCGCUCUGCCUCGUCCCGAGUCAUAACUACCUGCUGCAGGAAACCCGCUGGCCUUCAUGAGCCAAAUGCAAUGUGAAUUCUCGCAUAACCAUCAAAGCUCACUGAGAGGCGCCCUCUGUUUGGAAGCAGCCGUGCUCUUGUGUGGCCCAGAGACGCUCUGAGGAGUGGAGAGCUGACACACAGGCGGGCUGGGGUCCUGCUGGCUCCUUCAGGCUCCAUCGCACCAAGUUCCCGAGGACCUGUUAGCAGCUGAUCCUGGCCGGGUGAGCAUCCUUCAAGGGGAGAGAAGUCAGGACUGGAAGUUGCAGUGGGAAACCACCAGGUGGCUCAGCAGAGGAAGGAGUGGAUCCCUGGUCCUGGGCAUUUUUCUUUAGGAUUAUUCCAGCCUUCCACGUAAUUCAUCCAUGAACCGUGUCCGAGGACUGAGGUUGUCACUCUGUGCUACUCACUAUCGGCCUUUGCUCCGGAGUUUCGAGACAGCUGGAGGGAAGGGACCACACAGCCACACGUGAAUUCCG
Equus asinus (donkey) is the source of this 1756-nucleotide long non-coding RNA. The record is from Ensembl. Lineage: Eukaryota; Metazoa; Chordata; Mammalia; Perissodactyla; Equidae.